This 429-nucleotide long non-coding RNA is filed under the name Coturnix japonica (Japanese quail). RNAcentral's name for it is "lncRNA (ENSCJPG00005012910.1)". Lineage: Eukaryota; Metazoa; Chordata; Aves; Galliformes; Phasianidae. The record is from RNAcentral.
UUUCGACUCAUGCUGUCCAACUCAGCACGCCCUACAGCCUAUUACUCUGACACAGAAUCCAUCUUUUUUGUGUGUGUGAAGUUAUUUUCUGUUCUAUCUGCUGUGUCUUUUUCCAGGAACUAGAAUGAAACAACUCAAUGAUGGAAUACUGAAGACUUGCAGGAAUGUUCACGCUUACAUUGGUCAGAAAUGGUAGAGGUAAAUAAGUGUUUAAACCAUGGAGAGGCUGGACACUGCAUAGGUGACAGGACAUACACAGCUGGCAAAGUGUGCAGUGCAGGUGGGAGCAACUGUUCCAAAAUGUGAAAAUAUCCCUGGAGGUCUUAAUGCAGUGAAAGAAUCACACUUUAUACCUCGUACGAUGGAGGGAAGAUAACAAUGGAGCCUUUUCCUAAUAAAAUAAAGGAGAAAUGAUAAAAUUAAUGAAGA